UUAAUGUUCUCAUAAUUCCAGUUAGUAGAGGUUGUGAAAUGUUCCUUGCAUGUUCUCUUGGUACAGGAGUCUAGCUUUCCUGUGUUAGACAGUGUUCUCUUCAAGUGUAGGUGCCUAGAUUGAAUUAAGAAGUGUUUUCUAAGAUAGUGCCAGCACAGUGGCAGAGUACCUAUGUCUCUGGGAACCAAUGUGUAGCAUUACAACUUCCCACAAGAGCCCUGUCAUGUUUCAAGCAAUUUUUAAAAAGUGUGUGUUGGAAAAGGUCAACAAAGUUUACAUUUCAUACUUUUAAGAAACACUUUAUUAUUUAUUUAUUGAAGAUAGUGUAGAAUUUUGUAUCAAGAACAACAGACAUAAGUAUUUUUUGAAACAAGCAGAUAAUCUCUUUAGUUAGAAACUUUCAACUGAACUUGUUAAGGACCGAGUUCAACUUCAGGCAUGCAUUUGUUUACCACUUCCCAGCAGAAAACAUGGUUAAAAUACUUUAAGUUUAUAUUUUUGAUGUUGUUAAGAAACUUUUAAAUUAAAUCUAUAAAUAGACAUGUAACUCCUGCUUUCCUGUUUCUAUAACCGAUAGUUUGCUCAGUGUAUUUAUGAAGGACAUGUUACCCUAGUAGGAAAAAAAGUAUUAAAUGUGUAAGUGGGGUAGUGCUGGGUAACCAUCACAGUCUCUUUCUUGCUGUUCUCCAUUUUCUUCCUUUACUGACUUUAUUUUCGUGUUUGUGUUGGACAUCGCUGUUCCUAUAAGGGAGGGUGUGGUUAUAGGACAAACAUCUUAUAACUUGUAGGUUUCAGGUCACUUACUCAUAGGGUCCUGUUACUGGAAUUAAUGUAGCAUGAAAUGCAAUGUGUGAGUUGUUUCCCCCUGAUGAGUCUUCUGAGCAUCCUUGAGAUGCUCCUCAGAGUAGCAAGUUCUGGAUUAGUGUCCUUGCAUUUACUGGGGUACUCUGUGACAUGACUGAUCUCAUGCUUAUAGAUGAGUUGGGCUGGCCCUCACACCCAGUUGAUGAGAUGUGCUGGGGAGAGAGAAGCAUGGACGGUGGGUGAAGUCUCAGACCCUUGGCCCUCUAUUCCUUCACCUCUACCAUUUCAACCUUAUGGGCUACAUUGAAUACAGAUGAAAUGCCCUUGCCAAUAAGAAGUCCGACUUCUAGCUCUUUGCUUUCCAAAUACAGGGUUGCUCCAGGCUAUGCCUCUUGGGGUCCUGAGCCCAGCCUUUUAGACACUUGCAAAUGUCCUUCUUCUCAGUCAUACUGCUAGUUUCUCCUGCUCACUCUGAGCUCCUCUCACCCAAGAAGGGGCAUUCCUGGUGGCGAGGCUCUGAUCCUCAGUCAUCCCCGAGAAUUAUCCUAGCGGACAGGAGCCCUUGGGCUGGGCCUUCAUUAGACCAGCUGUCCUGCAGGGACAGUCCAUAUCCAAGGCCCUCUGCAGCAAGGCUUCUGUGGCGGAUAUUUCCUCUCCUAGCAGGUAGAUAGAUCGAUAACAUCGGCUCCAUGAGCCAGGUCUGUGAUCAUGAGAGCCCAAAGACUUAUGUGGCUCACUGAGACCCAGGCCUAGCCUAACUACCAAGAGGGACCUUUGUAGACUAGGGUCACUGGAAAUGUUCAAGAAACCGGGGUGAGGGUUCCUUGUGUGACUGCUUGGAUUACAUUUCUGUCCUCUGCUAGCAGAGGAGAAAACUGCUUCUAAAGAACGUUGUAUGGAUGAGGGAGUAUUCUUUUUCUUCUCUGCUUUUUGAACAAAAGCAUGACCUGGGUACUAUGUGAAAGUACUUUAUUUUAUCUGGGAGAGUUGACUCGAACUUAAUUGGAAAAAAAAUCCCAUCAGAUAAUGGGUAAAUUGAGUAUUUGCAGUAUGUCUUAUCUUGGUGAACUGGUACCAGCAAGGGUCCUCAAGGGUAUGUCUCAGGGGUCCAGGGGAAGCUGAAGGAAAAUUGCAGGUAAGAUUAUCAGUUGCAGGAUGAUAGCAGGUCUGCCCAGCCGUCUCUCCAGGAGUUGGUUGGGGGGAGCAUAAAGCCAAUGACCAUACAGAGUGAGAAUGUUCUAGAAUCUGACAGGGCUGGCUAUCCAGGGAGAAAUAGACAAGGUACCUCUGGUUUUGUGUGAAAGGUGAAAGUCUUACAUUGGCUUUUAGAGUUGGUGAAUACCUUGUGUGAGGAGAAAACAUCUAUCUCUACUCCAGCUUGCCAGUCCCUACUUGGUUGGGCCUUUUUGAUUCAUAGGAAGACAGUUUUUGCAUAACACUUUUAAGAAUUUCCACUAGAGAUAGAAAGAGCAAUAUGAUUCAAUUUGGAUUGAUUUCUUUAUUCUGCCUUCUCUUGUAGGGAUGAGAUGUGCUUUAGGGCCGACCACCAGCACUUUGACAAGGACACCUUGAGACACAAAGGGAUCGUUUCGGGCUUGAGACUGUGGAAUCGAACUCAGGGACUUGCACUUGCCAGGCAGAUGCUGCGCCGCUGAGCUACAUUCCUGGCCCUGUGAGUUGUUUUAAUAGGAUUCUGUUCUAUUUUAUUUACCAGAAAUAUUCUAUCCUCCAAUGAGUGUAUUUUAGUAUCAAAGCCCAUCGAGAAAAACUGGGGUCAGAAGUGGGCUUAUUUGGGCAGCCUUGAGAAAAGUCCAGCAUUCUUCUGAUAUUUCCUGAAAACCAGUAUUUUGGUCCUGAUAUUGCCUGUGUCCAAGGUUCCCUUUUAUGGAGUGGAAGGGAUGCUUGUUUUCUUCUUCUAGAACUCUGGUAUUAUACUUUUAUCAUUUAAAAGACUAACAUUCCUGCGUUUCCACAACUACAUGCCUUCAGCUUUCUCCUCUUAAACUCGAGGCCCAUUUCCUCCUAUUUCUGUGUGGAGACUUUGGAGUAGGGGCUUCGUGAACAGGAGCCAGAGGCAGGGUGGUGGCUUUGCAGCAUUUGGUUGACAGGCAGCAGCUGCCUUUCUAUCAGCUGACCCUGCUGGACAUUUGCUGGUCCCACUGGCCAGUCCCAAGGUGCUGGCUCCCUCUAGCGCAGCUCCCGGGUGUUGCUCUGUGUCCAGAGCAGAAGGAACUGGGCCUGGCUGAGCAGAGAUGGAGACUGAAGGCAGGAGAGGAAAGGCAGUUAGCAGUGGGUGCAGGGCCAGAACCUGGCACUCUGGGGCACCUUGGGAUUUCUUGCUGUUCCCAGCUGCAGGGUCGGGCUGCACUGAAGUACUCUCACCUUUUCUGUGUUUGCUUUCGUGGGUGCGCUGCACUUCAGCCCUUCACUGGCUCCCCACUGGCGGUGUCCCCCACUGCUGGGUGGGCUUCAGGGCAGGCCAGCUGGGGUGGGCCCCUCUCUCUAGUGAGGGUUCUGGAAGACUCUCUACUUGGGUUGGAUGGCAGUUUGAUUUCUGGCAUUUUCAAUGGUGGGAAUGCAGCCACUUGUACGGUCGCGUGUGUGUGUGUGUGUGUGUGUGUGGGUAUACAUAUGUGGGGGUGCUUGUAUGUGAAUAAGUGUGUUUGUGCAUGCACCUACCGACAGAGGAUGGCUAUGUGGACUGAAGGGGCAGACAGGGUUGUUCCAACCCUCCCCUGGGCACACUCGGGACGACCAGCACAUAAUCUGUGGGCCAAGUGCAAAAGGAAAACUCAAAAGCCCCUUGUUUCAAAGGAUUCAGAAUUUCAAGAUGGGAACAGCAGAGUCUUAAGCCGAACUGGGGCCCUUCUGAGUGUGGGGCCCGUGGUGACCAUGGCUGCCCCACGCUCUCCUAGGCUUCCCUGGCCACCCUGUAUUUCCAGACGGAUCUUGAAGCAGGUAGAGCCUUGUUUUCUGUCUUUUCCCUUGGAAAUGUGCCGAGCUGGGCUGAUGCGCUUUUCAAAACUUCUGCUUUUAUUUCCUAAAAGCAUAAAUGGUUGGACCAAUUAGAGGACACAGAACCAAAUCAGGAGGGAGUUGUCACCCACGGUGGCCAGAGAGAGUCACUGGGGGUGACACUGGAUGUCAAGCACCUUUGAACUUCAACCAUUGAACUCACUACCUUGAAGUAGAAUCCUUCUCUUGUGGUUAGUCAUCCCCUGGAGCUUUUCUCUUCAUUCCUGGUGGGAUGGGAAGGCUUUUCCAAACUUCUGCUGUCAAAGAGAAGCUGGGAGGUCCUAGAAGUGCUCAGUGUCUCUUCCCAGUGGCUGGACCCUUGUUUCUCCCUGGGGAAGGGGUUCUGUGGAGCCACCGUCUUCCAGCUGGACUCUCUCUGUAGGAUCUCAUUUGGCUUUUAGACAGGGUGGUGUUAGCAGAGAGGAAAGACCCCCAUGUCUGCAUUCUAGAAGACCAUGGCACCGGGGCAGCUGAUGACCAUGGAUUUGCCCCUCCUAGCUAUGUGCUUGCUGCUUUCUUUCACAAGCUUAUGCUUCACUGGGCUGGAUGUUCCAAAAACCUGUGCAGUUCUGCUUGGUUCUGCAAACGUAGCACUAUUUCUAUACACAUAGAGCAAAAAUUACUUCCUGCAUAUCCUAAUUCUUUCUGGGAUUAUGUUUGCCAAGUGAAAACAUUCACAGAAGGUCGAACAGAAAUUACAAACCCAUCUCACAUGGAUUUGACUAAGUCGUCUUGAAGGAAAUAACAAAUUAUAGCUUCAUUUCCACGUGUUGCACAAUCUUUCAAACUACGUAAAUUUCACACUACAUAAAGCAUUUUCUAGACGCAUUUAACUAAUGUUGUAUCAGAGUGAGUUUUACUAAAUGAAUAUUUUGAGAUACAUCUUAUAAAUCAACAUCCUUAAAAUGUUAUCUGCUAAGUAUUCACUGUGUCAGAAAGUAGAUAUUCUAGCAAGAUCCUUGUUGAGGAUGUUUGGUUUUAGACAUGCACUUAAAGCAUAUAUUGCCAGUAACCCAAAUAUCUUUGAAGUGUGAGAUCAGUCUAGGUCUUUGCCUGCUGCAGCACAAGCAGCUCUGGCCUGUGCCCUCCUCUUCGCACCAGAGCUGUGUAGAUGAGGCGUUGGCGACCAUCUCACCCUGUCGUAUUGCCUUAGCUCCAUCAGCUCUCUCCCCUCACGUGAAUAGGCGGUGAACAUAUGUGUAAAUACAGGUGUACAGAUGAGAAACUGCCCCACAAUGUCCUGUGUAUGAUAAUCAGCUCACAACUUCCAGUUUUCUGCAUUUUAUGCUGUGUCCAGCUAAGAAAAAUGCAGAAUUCCACUGCAUAAUGUGAAAAAGGCUGUGCUUUUUAAAAGGUUAGUUGUGAAAUCUCUGCUAUAUGUUUAUGGAAAUGACCAUGAUUAAAUGUAUGUAUGGUAUGUAAGGCUAUGCUGUUAAAUGUCGCUUAAACUAACAUAGAUUGUGUAGUCUAAAAUAUUUCACUUGUUACUGUAAAAUGUGAU
RNAcentral lists this long non-coding RNA (5320 nucleotides) under Heterocephalus glaber (naked mole-rat). RNAcentral's name for it is "lncRNA (ENSHGLG00100042219.1)". The record is from RNAcentral. Lineage: Eukaryota; Metazoa; Chordata; Mammalia; Rodentia; Bathyergidae.